GUAGGGGCCAAGCGUUGUCCGGAAUUAUUGGGCGUAAAGAGCUCGUAGGCGGUUUGGUAAGUCGGAUGUGAAAUCUCCGCGCUCAACGCGGAGCGGCCAUUCGGAACUGCCAUGACUUGAGUCCGGCAGGGGAGUGUGGAAUUCCCGGUGUAGCGGUGAAAUGCGCAGAUAUCGGGAGGAACACCCGUAGCGAAGGCGGCACUCUGGGCCGGUACUGACGCUGAGGAGCGAAAGCAUGGGGAGCGAACAGGAUUAGAUACCCUGGUAGUCCAUGCCGUAAACGUUGGGCACUAGGUGUGGGACCCCUAUCGACGGGUUCCCGUGCCGUAGCUAACGCAUUAAGUGCCCCCGCCUGGGGAGUACGGCCGCAAGGCUA
This 376-nucleotide ribosomal RNA is filed under the name uncultured organism. RNAcentral's name for it is "partial 16S ribosomal RNA". It matches the Rfam family "Bacterial small subunit ribosomal RNA", at positions 527 to 896 of the family's 1533-position model. The record is from RNAcentral.